CUUUAAAAAUCUGGAUCAAGCUGAAAAUUGAAACGACACAUCUUUAAUGGUGUGUUCGAGUCUCUCAAAUGCUUGCAGCACGAAGUGAAACAUCUUCGG
This 99-nucleotide small RNA is filed under the name Pluralibacter gergoviae. RNAcentral describes it as "Salmonella enterica Typhi npcRNA 44". It matches the Rfam family "Salmonella enterica Typhi npcRNA 44". Lineage: Bacteria; Pseudomonadati; Pseudomonadota; Gammaproteobacteria; Enterobacterales; Enterobacteriaceae. The record is from RNAcentral.